UUUUCAAUCCCUUUGUUUUCCCUCAUUUCUCAACCAUUUUCUUUGUAUUUUAUAUCAAAAUGAAGCCCCAAGCAUGUAGUUUCACGCUAUACUACUUUAAAGCUCUAAAAACUACGAAAUCUCACCAUAGAAAUUCCAAGAAAACCGGCCAAAUUCAAAUCCAGUGAUCCCGACGUCCAAAACCUUCAAACGAAGCACUCCGAGCUUCCUUGGGACCUCACUAAGCUCACUAUAAGCUUGGAUUGUCCUAAAAAUCAACCAACACAAAGUUCAUGAAUAGUGCCAAACUCGGACCUCGAGUUUUCAACGUGAAAACGAAGGGUUUCUUACCUAAAAUGGGCGUGGUUGAGUUCGUAGAGUCCUCACGAGCACGAUGGUGCCUUCAAAAUCCUUCGUCUUCUGGGGCAGCACCGCGUAGUGAAGCUCCAACUGAUCAACCUCCGAUACCUCCUCCUUCCGUGGCCCCGCCGACUGCUGAAGCUCCGCCAACUACUGAAGCACCACCUGACCAAUGAAUGCUAUUAGUUUACACAUCAUUGUAAAAAAAUGUUUAUUUCUAUUUUUUAUUUUUUUAUUUUUUUUAUUUUUUUGUUUUUUGUUUUUUUUUUGUUUUUUUUUUGUUUUUUUUUAAUCAAUGUAAAAUAUGUAAAUCAAUGUCAAAAAGACUUUGGUUAACCUUCCCCAACACUUAAACUAAAUAACACAAACUCACAGAAAUCAACCAAAUAACACAACUAACUAAACAAAACAAAAUGAAAGCAGUAAAGAUAAGGGUGUAAGAAUUCAAAUCUGAUUUGGUUAGCGAUUCCAAAGUCUCCCUUCGUUGAAUGCUUGGGUUACCUCCCAAGAAGCGCUUGAUUUAACGUCCUUAGCCGGACGAAUCUUUCCUUUAAACUCCCCUCGGCUCCAAAGCAUGGAAUUUAUCUUUUAAUGGGAGGUGAUACUUGAAAUGAUUCGGCAAUGGUUUAAAUUCAAGAGUGGGUGCCUGAAUCAUCAAAAUCAGAAACAUGUUAGUAUAAAUUAAAAUUAAAAUUGGAGAAGAUGGCUUACUUUCUUUUUCCGACACAAACUCAAUGACAAACACCACAUAUGUGAACAUUUCCGGGACUUUGAACUUGGCCAGGUUUACUAUGAUGGUUGUGGCUUGUCCCGUGUCAUCAAACUCAACUGCUUUGGGCUUGAUUGUCUCAUGCACAGCCUCUUGGAUGUAUUCUUGAUAUGCUUCAACCACUUCAUUUUCUUGAAUCCCUUUUCUUGGUGUGCAAGGUUCUUUGAACGUUUCAAUACCCUCGGGAACUUGUUUUGGUGCACCAAGAAUUGGGAUAUCACUUUGCACCUUUGGAAGAGCUUCCACAAUGUCUUUUUCACUCUCUUUGAUAUUUGGAAUCAAAAACCUGCAAGGACAAAGGACAUUCGGUGGAAUAAUGUUAGAAUGAAGUGAAUUUAGAACUUCCUCACCUGAGUUGGAUGACAUAGGGAUUUGAGGAGCUUGCAGCAAGAAUUCUUCUAAACUGCCCAGGUCGUCCUCCUCCUCUUCUGCUUGCAGCAGCAAUUCAUCCAUGUUCGGGCUGUGUUUGGAUGGUUCUGGGACAGCUUCAUCCUUCAUGUCACCUUCCAAGGUGAUGGCUUCAUCGAUUUCACUUUCUGCCUUUGAAUUUGCAAUGUUUGAGUUGGAAAGUUCACUUAGAUCUCGAAUCUGUGCCAUGAAUUCCACAAUCUGCCCAACUUGCAUAUCCAAUUCGUCCAAUCUUUUGACUCGGUCUUGCAUCUCCUGGUUUUGAUUUUCUACUCCCUGAUUCAAAGAGGUGAGUAACUUAUUAAGUGUAUCAUUAUCCAAGGACGUACCUGAAUUGAAUUGGGUUGAUUGUUGUGGUGGCUGUGACGGUUCAUAUGGCCACUGAUAGAACUCUUCUGAUGGCGGCAAUUGUUCUUCUUUUCGUAAACCCUGCGCCACAGAAAUUAGUCCUUCAAGAAUUUCAUUAUAAUUCAUGGGCAUACUUUGAUUUGAUUGGAAUUGUUGUGGGGGAUGUUGUGGUGGCUGCAUAGGUCUUGAAUAGAACUCCUCAUAUGGCUGCCAAUAUCCAUCUUGUUGGAAUUGUUGAGGUUCCCCCCACAUAUAAUUUGAAUGAUCUCUCCAAGCCGAAUUGUAAGCGUUGGAAAACAUGUUGUUGCUUGGUUGAUCAUAGCCUUGAUAACCCCAAGCAUCUUCGUUCACAUUGAAUUGAGGAUGUUGAUGAGUUUGAUAUCCGUGCCCAUAGGACAUGCCAAAUGUAGGGACACUUUGCAUUAUGGUCCUUCCGGCAAUCUAUGACAAUUGAGAAGUAAGAUUCGCCAAUUGAGCUUGAAUGUUAGCAAAAUCCAUGUCUUACUUCUCUAGUAUCUGAAAUCAAAGAAACAAAACUAAAUCAAAUAUCAAGAGUAACACAAAACAAAGAAAACAAAACUAAGUCAGAAACUAAAACAAAAACAAACUAAACAAAAAGAAAAGAACCAAGGGAUUAGCAAAUUUGCUAAUCCCCGGCAACGGCGCCAAAAUUUGAUGCGAGAAUUACUUGACACACAAAUUAAACCCUCUUUUUGACAAUUGUAGUAUAGAUGUAAGUAGGGUAUCGUUCUAGGCCGGGGAUUAGGAGGGAUUGCUAAUCUAUUGUAAAUUAAUUUAAAAAUAUUAAAUAAGACUCAAGGACACAAAACUAGGCUAAAAACUCUAAUAACUCGAAAACACACUUAAAAUGACUCAAAAUAAUGAAAACAAUUAAAUUAAACACUAGGAACUGAAAUGGACGGAAAUUAAAUUAAAAGACUAACAAUAAAGAAAACUAACUAAAUAAUAUAAUUUAAUAAUGGAUGGGUGUUUGGUUUUGAUGAAAAGUAAAUUAAACUUAAUUAAAUUACAGAAUUGACAAAAACAUAAAAUUAAGGUAAAAUGAUAAAUGACGGACUAGCUAGAGGGUUCUUCUCCACACAUGUUAUACUUGCAUACAAAAUGAUUUCCAGUUGCUUUUCGAUAAGCUAUGAAUACUCAACGCCCCAAAUUAACCGUGAAUUGCACUAAUUAACCCUCAGUUUUUCCACAAGUUAUUGGGUUGGAUGAUUGCAUACGACAACCCAAAACAUUCCCUACAAGUUCCCUACAUGAGUUGCAUAAUAGAGAUACAAGCAAGAAUCAUUAAGUUUUAUGAAAAACAUAAGCAUUGACGGGACACUCGUUACUAUGAUUUGCAUGAAACUUAUGCCAAGAAUUUACUUAACGUGAUUGUGACUAGCAACCUUUACUACUUGUGAAUAUAAGUUCAUAACGAUUAGGUGAAAUUCACUUAUAUUCUAACAUCAAAUUCAUGCAUGUAAAUUAAGCAUGCACUCUCAACCAACAUACACAAAUCAGUUUUUAUACGAACGGAUAAGUAAAUUGAAUUCACAACUUAUAAAAUCACAACCGAAGGUAAUCAAUUCAUAUUACAAAUAUAUUCAUGGCUUUGAAUUAACCUCUAGCCAAAAUAAAUUUAGUUACACAUUAUUAUCAAAUUAAACCAAAAGUAAAACAUAAGUUUGGAAAGAUUUAACCGAAAGAUUGAGUGAAGCUUCUGCUUCUGUGCUAUUUCUGCGCCUAGCAAGUCGACUUGCCCUCCUUCCAAUUCUCCGUGUCUUACGCUGCUCUCACGCUGCCAAAGGCAGCGUUCCGUCCCCCCCUUCCAAUUCUCCUUCUGCGUUCCUUUUUAUAUAUCCCCUUCACGUCUGACCUCUCUCUCGUUUCUGCCUUUUCCUGGACUCUAGCUGUCCUCACGCUGCUAAAGGCAGCUUUCUGCUCUCCCUGUCUACCCGUAUGCCUUCUUCUUCCUGCACGUUCCCUCUGACCAGCUGCAAAGCAGCUUUCACACUGAUUUCCACUCCUCCUUUUCUUUUCUAUAUUUUUUUCUGCCCCUCUGUCUUCCAGCUCACGCUGUCUCUCUCUACAUAGCUGCCAACGCAGCCUUUUCUUUCAUUUUUCGCACUGCCCACGUCUCCUGCUCUCUGCUGCAAAGGCAGCUCCUUUCUCCUCCUUGACACGCUGCACAGCAGCUUUGUUUAUUCCUGCCCAAGGCCCCCUCGAGCUGCCGAGAACAACUUCUUCUUGUAUUUUCUUAUUUUCUGUUUCGGUGCACCGCCAAAGCCCCCCCAGCUGCUCAGCAGCUCAUUCCCUUUUAUUCCUCGGAGACCUUUAUUUCUGUUGCAAAGCAGCGUUUGUUUCCCGUGCUCCCCUUCGUUCUUUCCUUUGUUUUUCUUUUAUUCCUUUCCUUUUUUUAUUCCUUUCCAUCCGUUCUUUUCUUUUCUUCUACAAAACAAAACCAUCAUGAUGAUGUUUCAAACAUCAUCAUGACUUAUCAUUAUUAUAUAUAUUUUUUUUAAUUUAAUUUAAAAGCUGAUCUACACAGACAGUUUUGACGAAUUUAUUACAUAAAAUUUCACUUGUUCUAUUUUUAUUUUCUUUGCAUAACAAAUCCUAUAAACACAAAAAUAACGUAAAUAGCUCAAAAAUAUAAGGAACUAACUAAGAAAAGACGAGUGAAUUUGAAGUAAAAAUAUAUAUAAAUAUGAUCCGAUCACGUGACUCCCUACGAGGCGGUAUAAUUCUGACAGAAAACAUCAAAAGAUCAUUAGAGCAUUAACAAUUAUACAGGACUGCAACCUGGCUCUGAUACCAAAUUGACACACCCCGACCCAGAAAUCAGGGCGUGUUGGCCGUCACAUGAGUGUGACGUAACCAAAAGUGCGAUAUGGAAGCAAAGGAUAUAAUAAAUACGAAGGAAUAAAAACCAACUACUAACAGUAUAAACCAACUAGCGUGCUAGAGUGAGUUAUAUAGUAAAACACACAAUUCAGAGCGUAGGUACUAGGUGCAGUCAAGUACACUAUAAUUAAAUUACAACACCCGCAGGUGAGUCCUACAUGCAGGGUGUCUGUCAGAAAGCCGAAGAGAACCUCGUGAGCCACCAACUGCUAGCUAGAACCUAGAGGGGCGCAAAAACAAAAUUGAGUGGGUCAGUAAAACCAAAGCUUUCCAAAACAUUUCAUUUAAAACGUUUCUAACCCCUCACUGUAAAACCUGUAUACUUUCCCAGAAAAAUAGUAUAUAAACAUAUAUAUAUAAUCAAAAGCUCAACUCACAAUCCUUCACCACUUUUCAGAAAGAAGAUGCCAUGCCAUGCCAAAAUAUAAUAUGAAUGCAUCAAUAUAAAUCAGGUGAAAUAAUAAAUCAACCGGAGACCCUACAAUGGUCAUGUACGGCUGAUUCUAUAGCUCAAUAUCCCAUCCAGCCGGAGUCACCCACUGUGACCUGUACGGCACUACGCUGCACAUAAGUCGGAACUACUUAUAGUAGUCUGUACGACUAUGAUGGUGAAAUAAUACGCUCUAGUGCUUCUCUCAUCAAUCAUCUGCGCGCGUAAUCUAAGGUCACCUACUAGUCGGAACCACCUCUAGUGGUCUGUACGACUAGCAUGUCGAAACCCUCUCAGGGUCUGUACGACAUGCACCUACUUGGAUCCAAGAUGAGCGUCCGGUGCGGUGAAUAAUAUAAGCACUAACACCAAGGGUGCAAACUAUGAGCUCUCAACACAAUUCACAUUAUCGAUGAUUCACAUGAUUAACAUAAAACUCACAUGAUAAUCACCUGUGCGUCCACAACACCAAUUUACACAUAUAUAUGCAUCAAUAAACAAUUCAUAUUAUUCAUAAUAUGCAUGCAUGGCAAUUGAAAACAUACUUUCAUAUAAAUUCAAUUUCUGGGAAAAUUAAUAGUAUAUAGGUAUAUACGAAAACAAAAUUGCCCACUCACUGGUAAGUCGAUGGGUCGUAGCCCCCAUGACGUCCCUGGAUGCGCUCGUCCUCGGGAUAGGUGUCACUUAUAUACGAAACAACUAUAAAAACAUUAAUUAAUGCACAUAACCGACAAUUCAAAAUAACUUCUCAUACGGUGCUCAAUUUGGGUAUAUGAAUAUACCACAUCGACCUACUAGACGUCACGGACGUCGAGAAAUUUUUAGAAAUUUUUUUUGAAGUGGCACGAGCCCCCACGCGCCAGGGCAACACGGGUACACGCGCCCCCCCCCCCCACGCAUGUCUUCUUCCUUGGUUCACCGGACUGUGUUUUCCGGUGGCCGAAAAACUGGGGAUUUUUCAAUCCCUUUGUUUUCCCUCAUUUCUCAACCAUUUUCUUUGUAUUUUAUAUCAAAAUGAAGCCCCAAGCAUGUAGUUUCACGCUAUACUACUUUAAAGCUCUAAAAACUACGAAAUCUCACCAUAGAAAUUCCAAGAAAACCGGCCAAAUUCAAAUCCAGUGAUCCCGACGUCCAAAACCUUCAAACGAAGCACUCCGAGCUUCCUUGGGACCUCACUAAGCUCACUAUAAGCUUGGAUUGUCCUAAAAAUCAACCAACACAAAGUUCAUGAAUAGUGCCAAACUCGGACCUCGAGUUUUCAACGUGAAAACGAAGGGUUUCUUACCUAAAAUGGGCGUGGUUGAGUUCGUAGAGUCCUCACGAGCACGAUGGUGCCUUCAAAAUCCUCGAUCCACGAAGUUUCAGGGUUUUAUGGCAUUGGUCCGUACGUUUCAAGAGGGAGAGAGUGAGAGUCGUGAGGGAAGGGAGAGAGAGAGGGUACGGGAAAGAGAGAGGGAGAGGUUUAACAUGUGUGGUCCAUCCCAACAUUCACCAUCCAACUUCAAUCCCUAGCCACACAAUUUACAAACCAAUUUUUAAUCCAACCUAAUAAUUUUAUAAAAACUUAUGAAAUAAAUGUAUUUAGUCCAAAAGAUAUGUCACACAUACACAUACCUUAAUACCCGUUAAGGGUAAUUUCGUCAUUUUACGUCCCCGAUAUAUAAAAUCCCGGAACGGGCUGUGACAUUGAAAGUUUAGUAAAUUAUUUUGGUAUUUCUUUAUUUUAGGUGUUUAAAGAAAUGUGUAAGAGUAAAUUGGGUGGUUAGAGACAUGCGUUUAGGCAUACUCAAAACCACUCUUUCCAAAAACGCCACCAACUCCAAUCCUGCUAUCCCCCAUUCAUUUGAUGCUUAUGAAUACGAGCUUAAACACACUCCACAACCAAUGGCUCAGAUGAUUAUCAUGUAAUCAUAUGGUACUAAUUAGUUCAUAAUCAAAUACUCAAAUUCUUUUGAACUCUUUAAUUUUCCUCUGACUUUACUAAAAUUGAAAAGAAUGUGAACUUGCCUUUUGAAAUCCCUAAUCAAAUACUUCAAAAUCAAGAAUCUAUCAACUAGAGCACUAGUUGAUCUGAUUCCUUCCUUACUUCCCUUAUUUCUAAGUUCUCCAAUUCAUUCUUUCUCUCAUUUUUGUUAGUAAACAUGUAUGUCCCAAAUUCAAACAUAAAUAAAAUUGAUUUAGCCUAAGUGCAACAAUCGAAAUCACAAUCCUUACAACAUCGGCCGUGAUAAGUAGUGAUUAAGUUUUAAUCAUAUAUAUAACUUGCUUCCUAAGCAAUCAAAAAAUAACCACGAGACCAAAUUAGGGUUCGAUAAGUACUUCCUUCCAGCUUAAUUGACCUGAUGAACAGCCUGACCUGCAUAUUUAUAUCCUACUAGUUAAUUCCUAUAUAUAUACUCUCUUGUGAAUGGAAAUUGGCCAAUGAGAGAACUGCUUCAACUGGGGGUAAUGAAUGGUAAUUAAACAAUUAAGUCACCAUAUAAAUCAGCAAGUUCCGAAACUCACAGAAACUUCACUGUUAGAGAACCUCUGCCAGAUGCUGCCUCUUCUGCAGUAGUGCCCCUGCUACAACAACUUCAACUGAACUGUAGUACUUUUUGGAACGUGGCUCAAUUAGUUUAGCAGUAAAUACUUCUUCCUCCCUAAAUACGAUGAGUUACUACUCCUCUAUUAUUAUCUAGGUCAAAUAAUUGAAGUAUAUGAAUUAUGACGAGGUCCCCAUGAAUUUGAAUGGCUUUAUCACUUCGUUAGAAUUAUGCAUAUAUGAUGCAGCUAGCCAAGGGUCUCCCCACUACUAGUUUCUAAUUACGUGAAAGACCUGUAGUUAAUUAAUUUUAAAAAAAAUAUCAACAGCAAGAACUCAUAAGAAGCUUCACUUGCAGAUAUGGAUAUGGAAAUGCAUGUGAAAUUUAAGACUUGCAUUAGUGAUGAAAUGCGGGCAAGGCCCCAGCAGCCAUGGCAUGCAGGCCAGAUCAUUGGAGGUCCAAAAACAUAUAAAAGCUAGCUAGCUAGCAGUACCACUGCAUACACCCUGUCAAACUGCGUGCUAUCUAAGCGGGUAUGUGUUGAGAGAAUGACUUCACAUGUAUAUAUAUCAUCACCAUUACAUUUUGUGUUAAUGUAGAAAAUAAUUUGUAAAUUUAUGUUCACAUGACGUUAUAUCAUUGACAUGAAAAAACACAAUAUUAAAUUAUAUCCAUACCAUAUAAGUUAUUCUCAAGCCAAAUCCACAUUAGUAACAAAGUACCUUGACGUAGUAGGGGCUCUUUGAACUUUAUAACACAUGUUUGCAUUUGUAACAUCUCAAAUUGCAAAAAAAACACCCUAGCAUGAAGAAAAGAAUACAAAAAAGUCCGCCAAAAUUACGCCAAAGUCCCUUCUAACCUAUCAUUUUAUUCAAUGCUAAAAAAACAAAGAACCUCUUCCAUUUCAUCCAAGCUAACCUUCUCUCAAUCCAGUUGACAAAAUGGGAUAAAGUGGGAUAUAGAUGAUGAGUACAGAGGGUAGAGUGAGUGAGAAAUUAUAAUAGAACAUAAGAAGUAAAGGGAGAUUUCGUUUACAGUAUUAUGGGGCACAUCUAAAAUAAGCCUUCUCAAAGUGAUCUCCAUGAUAUACAAGGCAUAUUCAAUCAGCUACUGUUUACCCAAAAUAUCAGGUUAUGUUAUAAAUAGCUAAAAAUGAAAAAGGGAACAUUUGCUAGAAAUUGAAGUGGAACAAGAUUGAUAUUAUCACCUUCACUUUUGAUCUUAUGUGUUGUUAAGAAGAUCUAAACAUAUCUCUAUAUAUAGAUGUUUUCAUCCGACACUACUUUACAUGCAUGAAGAAACUUUACAUACCAAGAUAGUAAAAAUCAUACUCAUACCAUUUAAGUCUACAAUCUUAGCCUACAAACUUGACUUCAAUUCUUCCAUCUUUAAUCCAAUUAUGUGUCCAUUCAUUCACAUUUUUACAACAGGCUAAAUUCAACACACAAAUUAUGAGCUUAGCACUCUGCUCCAAAUUAAUUUGAAACUGCCUUAUAUAUAUGGUCAGAAUGUUUCUCUCAAACUUUGAUGGAGAGAAGAACCUGGCCUCCUUCAGUACAUUUCUGGAAUGAUGUUAGUUAAAUUGCUCUUCCACCAAACAUAACCGGGUACCGUAAAAUCUCAAGAAUAAACCUUUUAGUUUUCCAGGUGUUCAUUAUUUUGUCUCUAUGUUUUGAAGAAGUGUUUUUAAUGAGACAUCAGUGCAUUAAAUAUCACAUUCAUACCAGUCAGGCAGUCACCUAAUAAUGUUAAUUAACUGGGUCCUGUCCUGGCCAUGGUAUAUCAAGAAUUUUUUUUCUUUGUGUCGGGAAAACGAAUAAGUACACAAAGUGUAACUAUACAAUUGGUGAAUUUCUUU
Molecule: long non-coding RNA, 9581 nt
Filed under: Malus domestica (apple)
Lineage: Eukaryota; Viridiplantae; Streptophyta; Magnoliopsida; Rosales; Rosaceae
Description: long non-coding RNA (MDOM_LNC011551)
Source: RNAcentral